GGGGUUGUGGCUCAGUGGUAGAGCGCUUGCCUAGCAUGCGUGAGGCAUUGGGUUCGAUUCUUAGCACCA
RNAcentral lists this transfer RNA (69 nucleotides) under Ictidomys tridecemlineatus (thirteen-lined ground squirrel). RNAcentral's name for it is "Spermophilus tridecemlineatus (thirteen-lined ground squirrel) tRNA". It matches the Rfam family "tRNA". Rfam says of the family: Transfer RNA (tRNA) molecules are approximately 80 nucleotides in length. Their secondary structure includes four short double-helical elements and three loops (D, anti-codon, and T loops). Lineage: Eukaryota; Metazoa; Chordata; Mammalia; Rodentia; Sciuridae. The record is from Rfam by way of RNAcentral.